GCCCUAGUAGCUCAGCUGGUAGAGCGUAAGCGUGGGUUCGAAUCCCACCGAGGCUA
RNAcentral lists this transfer RNA (56 nucleotides) under Echinostoma caproni. It matches the Rfam family "tRNA". Rfam says of the family: Transfer RNA (tRNA) molecules are approximately 80 nucleotides in length. Lineage: Eukaryota; Metazoa; Platyhelminthes; Trematoda; Plagiorchiida; Echinostomatidae. The record is from Rfam by way of RNAcentral.